CAAACUCGUUGGAACUCAAUUACCAAGGCGGGGAGAGACUGUAAGUGCACUUCAAGUUGCAGGUACUCAAGAUUCAUGACUCUGACGCGGAAUGCCUGUUGAUUACCAUGAAGCAUAACUUGUUAUACCUACUCUAUGUAAUCCUUAUAUAUGUUUGUAAUGCUGCAUCUUGCUUAGUUAGUACUGUGUUUCCUUCAUGCAUAAAGUGUUUUUCUUAUUUUAACUCUUUACACCCCCAAGAUGAGAUCUCAUUAAAAAAUAUUGCAGUAUCUCUCCCG
Molecule: unclassified non-coding RNA, 278 nt
Filed under: Hevea brasiliensis (rubber tree)
Lineage: Eukaryota; Viridiplantae; Streptophyta; Magnoliopsida; Malpighiales; Euphorbiaceae
Source: RNAcentral